RNAcentral lists this ribosomal RNA (492 nucleotides) under uncultured bacterium. RNAcentral's name for it is "partial 16S ribosomal RNA". It matches the Rfam family "Bacterial small subunit ribosomal RNA", at positions 28 to 507 of the family's 1533-position model. The record is from RNAcentral.
GACGAACGCUGGCGGCGUGCUUAACACAUGCAAGUCGAACGGAAAGGCCCCCACUUUUUUGGUGGGGGUGCUCGAGUGGCGAACGGGUGAGUAACACGUGGGUGAUCUGCCCUGUACUUCGGGAUAAGCUUGGGAAACUGGGUCUAAUACCGGAUAGGACCAUGGUUUAGUGUCUCAUGGUGGAAAAAUUAUUGUUUUGGUGCAGGAUGAGCUCGCGGCCUAUCAGCUUGUUGGUGGGGUAAUGGCCUACCAAGGCGUCGACGGGUAGCCGGCCUGAGAGGGUGGACGGCCACAUUGGGACUGAGAGACGGCCCAGACUCCGACGGGAGGCAGCAGUGGGGAAUAUUGCACAAUGGGCGCAAGCCUGAUGCAGCGACGCCGCGUGGGGGAUGACGGCCUUCGGGUGGUAAACUCCUUUCGUUAGGGACGAAGCCGCACCUUUUUUGGGUGUGGUGACGGUACCUUUGUUAAGAAGCACCGGCUAACUACGUG